Molecule: unclassified non-coding RNA, 1105 nt
Filed under: Hevea brasiliensis (rubber tree)
Lineage: Eukaryota; Viridiplantae; Streptophyta; Magnoliopsida; Malpighiales; Euphorbiaceae
Source: RNAcentral
UCUGAUUUUCCCUUUCGCUUGUCAUUCGAGGGUCGGAGAUCAAACCUAAAAACGCCACAUGACCGACCAAAUUCAGGUGUCAAUGGACGCUAGCCAAGAAGCGGACAUCUCGGUGUUGCCGGAAGGUUGCAUAUCAAACGUGCUGUCGUUUACAAGUCCUCGCGAUGCCUGCACUUUGUCCAUCGUCUGUUCUUUGUUCAAGAAUGCUGCCCUUUCCGACACCGUUUGGGAGAGUUUCCUGCCAGCGGAUUUUCAGUCUAUUAUCUCCCGCUCCAGCGAUUAUUAUUCUCUAUUGGCUUCUUCCUCUUCCAAGAAACAACUCUUUCUCAGACUCUGCCAAAAUCCAAUCCUCAUCGACGAGGGCAAAAAGAGUUUUGCGUUGGAAAAAUGGACUGGGAAGAUAUGUUAUAUGCUUUCUGCAAGGGACCUCACGAUUGUCUGGAGCGAUACUCCUACUUAUUGGAGAUGGGUAUCCGAACCGGAUUCCAGAUUUGCAGAAGUGGCUGUGCUUAUCAUGGUAUGUUGGCUUGAAAUCAGUGGCAAAAUCAAUACUCAAAUGUUGUCCCCGGCAACAUUGUAUACAGCUUAUUUGGUGUUCAAAUUAGCAACAGGAGCUUUUGGGUUUCAAUCCCUCCCUGCAGAGGUCAGUGUGGGACUUGCUGGAAGUGAAAGCUUUACGCGUGGUGUUUUUUUGGACGCAAAAAGAGGACGGAGAAGGCGACAUGGUAUGCUUAGCCGCAGCUGGCAUUUCGGGUUGCGAGCAUCUGUGCCCACUGGAGGAAGCGAUGGCGGAUACCCUAAAGAGAGAGCAGAUGGGUGGCUGGAGAUUAAAUUGGGUGAGUUUUUUAACAAGGAAAGCGUAGAUGGGGAAUUGGAGAUGAGUAUUUUGGAGGUGAAAGGUGGUCACUGGAAACGUGGUCUCGUUGUUCAAGGGAUAGAGAUCAGGCCAAAAAGAGAGUAAAAAUCUAAGGUGGCAAUUGCAUUUGGGGACAUUGGCAAUAUAACUAGAUAGAGUGAGAGGUCCAUCAUCCAUGCCAUGGGUUAGAGUUACUUCUCUUGCCAUUAUGUACGUGGAAUGAAUUAUAUAUCUAAAUAAAAUAUCAUU